This 419-nucleotide ribosomal RNA is filed under the name unidentified. RNAcentral's name for it is "Microstomum lotti partial 16S ribosomal RNA". It matches the Rfam family "Archaeal large subunit ribosomal RNA", at positions 1903 to 2679 of the family's 2987-position model. The record is from RNAcentral.
AAACAUUGUCAAUUUAUUAAUUGAUAAAACCUGCUCGGUGAAGUAAAAUUUUAACAGCCUCAGUAUUUUGACUGGGCAAAGGUAGCAUAAUUACUUGUUUUUUGAAUAGAAACUUGUUUGAAGGGUUAAACUUAUUUUUUUAAUGAAAAUAAUUUUGAAUUUUCUUUAAAGUAAAAAAGCUUUAGAAAAAAAAAAGAAGAGAAGACCCUUAAAGCUUUGGAAAUUUAAAUGGGGUAUUUGAAAUAAUUUUUUUUGAUUAUAUAGAAGAAAAAGCUACUUGAGGGAUAACAGGAUAAUAUUAAAUAAAGAUCAUAUUUACUUUAAUGUUUUUUACUUCGAUGUUGAAUUAAUUUUUCCUUUUUGUGCAACAGCAUAUAGGGUUAGCCUGUUCGGCUAUUAAAAAAUUACAUGAUUUGAGU